AGCUUUUAUGCAACUCUCCCCAAAUUGCCCUUUUUCGUUUUUUUGCCUUAUAACCCCACAAAAUUGGAGUUCUCUACCAUUCAAAAGUUGCAUGAUAAAUUUCAAAAAGCAAGGUUAUAUCUGGUAUUUCAUAAGCUAUUUACACACUGUCCAAUGUUAGAAGAUUUCAAUUUCAAAUUUCAUAUUCUCCCUCUUUUUCUCCCUUUAUAAUCAAUUUGUGUUUUCUGUCUCUUAAUCUACUCAUAUUCAUGUUAUAUCUUCUCUUUCAUUUUCUCUUUUCUUCUACAUAUUUUUUCCUUACUACUAAUGUUUGUUCUUAUUUUGCAGAGAAAGAAGAAUAAAAGAAAAUGAAAUCUUCACAAAGGUAUGUCCUAGAAAAACUCGCAUUUUCUUUGUUCAUCUAUUUUUUCUAUCUUUUAUAUCAUGUUUUUAACAAACAUAUUUUUUCUUCAACUUUCCUUUACAUCAAUGAUUCUAUAGAAUAAAAACAACUAAUAACAAUUAUUUAUGAAAAAAAAAUUUGUUGCAGAAAAUAAAUAAGAGCUUAGAAGAUGCACUUCUCCAAAAAUAAAUAAAAAGUCAAGAAAAUGAAUAUCAAUCUUCACUAAUUUCUUUUUCAUUAAACAAAAAACAGCAGCACCACAUACUUAUCAAAAGCAUUGUUAUCAUUUUAUUUUUCACUAAUUAAUGCAAUAAUAUGUUUUUUCCUUUCAGGAUACAUAAAGAUACAAACAAAAAUGAGAAGAAAACAAGAAACAGAGAUACAUACAGAUACAAAUAAAUAUGAGGAGGAAAAAAUGAAAGAAAGUUUGAUUUAGGUAAAAAUAACUUAAUAUUUAUUGAUGUUCAAUAUUGUUUUUAAAUUUUAAUUAAACAUGCUGUUAUGAAGAAUAAAAAUAAGUACUAACAAUUUUAUUUGGACAAAAAUUGGUUGCAAAAGAUAGAGCUUAGAAGAUUUAAAAAAUAAAAUAAAAUAAUGAUUUUAAUAAAUAAAUAAAUAAAAAUUAACGGAUCUAAAAACAAAUAGAAGAAAAGAGCUAGAGAAGUUGAGUUUGUGACUUUCAUUAAAGUAAUUGUUUUUCUAUGAACAUUUUUUAAAUAACAUUUUGUGAAUGAAAACAACUACUAACAUUUAUUAAGUAAUUAAAAAAAAAUGUUGCGGAAUAAUAAGAGCUUGGUAGGUUUCAAACUAGAAAAUGACCUUGCUAUAUUGUUUUAAAAAGACCUUGCAGUAAUAAUUUUAAACAUGAAAUUAAAUUAAAUAAAUAUGAGUGUUUCUUUAUAGAUAUGAACAUAGAUAUAAAAAAAUUACUUUACCAGCAAAAAAUAUUCCUUUAAUUUCUCUGAUUUUGUUGUUGUUAAACUAGGAGCUUAGACAAAGAAGCAAACCUCUCAUACAAAGAUGUAAAAAGAAAAGAAAGAAAGUAUGUUUCUGGCACAGUGAUACAAUUUCUAGCACGAUUCCGAUCCGGUGGUUACAUUUUCCGGCACGGUGGCUACAUUUUCCGGCGCGGUGGCUAUUGGCAAAUGUAUUCCGAUCUUAAUUUUUCGUUCUGGAUUUUGUGGAAGAGAAGGAGGAGAGCCUUUUAUAGUGAUGAUUUUUUAAAUGGUGGUGUGUGGUGAUCAAAAUCUAGAUCUAAACAAAUUGAAAGCACCACUCUAACAACAACAAAAAAGCAAAACAAAAGAGAAAGAUAAAGAAGAAGGUUGAAUAGGAAGAUAGAGGAUGAGAUUUGAUGGUAGCAAAAUCAAGUUGGAGGCAUUGGAUUUGGUGGCCGGCGGCUAGGGUUUGUUUGUGGAAAACAACUUCUCAAAACUUCUUUCUUGAAGAAAGAGAAAGAAA
Trifolium pratense (red clover) is the source of this 1843-nucleotide long non-coding RNA. RefSeq lists it as uncharacterized. The transcript has 2 exons. Lineage: Eukaryota; Viridiplantae; Streptophyta; Magnoliopsida; Fabales; Fabaceae. The record is from RefSeq and is a predicted model, not a curated record.